CCUAACCCUGAAAGCUUUGCAUUUGUGACUGCUGUGUCACAUGUGUUUCAGUAGGUGGCAGAAAGGACAGAAGCUAUAUCUACUCUUAGUGUUCUGACCUAAAAACAGCUAAAUGAUUAGUAGCCUAAAAUU
Rattus norvegicus (Norway rat) is the source of this 132-nucleotide small nucleolar RNA. Ensembl annotates it as small nucleolar RNA SNORA17. Lineage: Eukaryota; Metazoa; Chordata; Mammalia; Rodentia; Muridae. The record is from Ensembl.